This 96-nucleotide signal recognition particle RNA is filed under the name Brevibacterium paucivorans. RNAcentral's name for it is "signal recognition particle sRNA small type". It matches the Rfam family "Bacterial small signal recognition particle RNA". Rfam says of the family: The signal recognition particle (SRP) is a universally conserved ribonucleoprotein involved in the co-translational targeting of proteins to membranes. Archaeal SRP consists of a 7S RNA and homologues of the eukaryotic SRP19 and SRP54 proteins. In most bacteria, the SRP consists of a 4.5S RNA and the Ffh protein (a homologue of the eukaryotic SRP54 protein). The record is from RNAcentral. Lineage: Bacteria; Bacillati; Actinomycetota; Actinomycetes; Micrococcales; Brevibacteriaceae.
GGUGGCCCUUCGUGUGGCGUUUAUCCUGCGAAUCCCCCAGGACCGGAAGGUAGCAAGGGUAAGGAGGCUCUGGCGGGUGCACGAAGGGUCCUUUCA